GAUGAACGCUGGCGGCGUGCCUAAUACAUGCAAGUCGAGCGAACAGACGAGGAGCUUGCUCCUCUGACGUUAACGGCGGACGGGUGAGUAACACGUGGAUAACCUACUUAUAAGACUGGGAUAACUUCGGGAAACCGGAGCUAAUACCGGAUAAUAUAUUGAACCGCAUGGUUCAAUAGUGAAAGACGGUUUUGCUGUCACUUAUAGAUGGAUCCGCGCCGCAUUAGCUAGUUGGUAAGGUAACGGCUUACCAAGGCAACGAUGCGUAGCCGACCUGAGAGGGUGAUCGGCCACACUGGAACUGAGACACGGUCCAGACUCCUACGGGAGGCAGCAGUAGGGAAUCUUCCGCAAUGGGCGAAAGCCUGACGGAGCAACGCCGCGUGAGUGAUGAAGGUCUUCGGAUCGUAAAGCUCUGUUAUUAGGGAAGAACAAAUGUGUAAGUAACUAUGCACGUCUUGACGGUACCUAAUCAGAAAGCAACGGCUAACUACGUG
RNAcentral lists this ribosomal RNA (497 nucleotides) under uncultured bacterium. RNAcentral's name for it is "partial 16S ribosomal RNA". It matches the Rfam family "Bacterial small subunit ribosomal RNA", at positions 28 to 507 of the family's 1533-position model. The record is from RNAcentral.